GACGAACGCGGCGGCGUGCCUAAUACAUGCAAGUAGAACGCUGAAGGAGGAGCUUGCUUCUCUGGAUGAGUUGCGAACGGGUGAGUAACGCGUAGGUAACCUGCCUGGUAGCGGGGGAUAACUAUUGGAAACGAUAGCUAAUACCGCAUAAGAGUAGAUGUUGCAUGACAUUUGCUUAAAAGGUGCAAUUGCAUCACUACCAGAUGGACCUGCGUUGUAUUAGCUAGUUGGUGAGGUAACGGCUCACCAAGGCGACGAUACAUAGCCGACCUGAGAGGGUGAUCGGCCACACUGGGACUGAGACACGGCCCAGACUCCUACGGGAGGCAGCAGUAGGGAAUCUUCGGCAAUGGACGGAAGUCUGACCGAGCAACGCCGCGUGAGUGAAGAAGGUUUUCGGAUCGUAAAGCUCUGCUGUAAGAGAAGAACGAGUGUGAGAGUGGAAAGUUCACACUGUGACGGAU
RNAcentral lists this ribosomal RNA (464 nucleotides) under Streptococcus mitis. RNAcentral's name for it is "bacterial SSU rRNA". It matches the Rfam family "Bacterial small subunit ribosomal RNA", at positions 28 to 477 of the family's 1533-position model. Lineage: Bacteria; Bacillati; Bacillota; Bacilli; Lactobacillales; Streptococcaceae. The record is from RNAcentral.